Molecule: ribosomal RNA, 486 nt
Filed under: uncultured bacterium
Lineage: Bacteria
Description: partial 16S ribosomal RNA
Rfam family: Bacterial small subunit ribosomal RNA
Source: RNAcentral
AUUGAACGCCGGCGGCAUGCCUUACACAUGCAAGUCGAACGGCAGCACGGGUGCUUGCACCUGGUGGCGAGUGGCGAACGGGUGAGUAAUACAUCGGAACAUGUCCUGUAGUGGGGGAUAGCCCGGCGAAAGCCGGAUUAAUACCGCAUACGAUCCACGGAUGAAAGCGGGGGACCUUCGGGCCUCGCGCUAUAGGGUUGGCCGAUGGCUGAUUAGCUAGUUGGUGGGGUAAAGGCCUACCAAGGCGACGAUCAGUAGCUGGUCUGAGAGGACGACCAGCCACACUGGGACUGAGACACGGCCCAGACUCCUACGGGAGGCAGCAGUGGGGAAUUUUGGACAAAGGGCGAAAGCCUGAUCCAGCAAUGCCGCGUGUGUGAAGAAGGCCUUCGGGUUGUAAAGCACUUUUGUCCGGAAAGAAAUCCUUGACUCUAAUACAGUCGGGGGAUGACGGUACCGGAAGAAUAAGCACCGGCUAACUACGUG